Molecule: ribosomal RNA, 746 nt
Filed under: uncultured cyanobacterium
Lineage: Bacteria; Bacillati; Cyanobacteriota
Description: bacterial SSU rRNA
Rfam family: Bacterial small subunit ribosomal RNA
Source: RNAcentral
AGAGUUUGAUCAUGGCUCAGGAUGAACGCUGGCGGUAUGCUUAACACAUGCAAGUCGAACGGAGUACUUCGGUACUUAGUGGCGGACGGGUGAGUAACGCGUGAGAAUCUGCCUUCAGGUUCGGGACAACCACUGGAAACGGUGGCUAAUACCGAAUGUGCAGCAAUGUGAAAAAUUUAUUGCCUGAAGAUGAGCUCGCGUCUGAUUAGCUAGUAGGUGUGGUAAGAGCGCACCUAGGCGACGAUNAGUAGCUGGUCUGAGAGGAUGAUCAGCCACACUGGGACUGAGACACGGCCCAGACUCCUACGGGAGGCAGCAGUGGGGAAUUUUCCGCAAUGGGCGAAAGCCUGACGGAGCAAUACCGCGUGAGGGAGGAAGGCUCUUGGGUUGUAAACCUCUUUUCUCAAGGAAGAAAAAAAUGACGGUACUUGAGGAAUAAGCAUCGGCUAACUCCGUGCCAGCAGCCGCGGUAAUACGGAGGAUGCAAGCGUUAUCCGGAAUGAUUGGGCGUAAAGCGUCCGCAGGUGGCUAUGUAAGUCUGCUGUUAAAGAGUCUGGCUCANCCAGAUAAAGGCAGUGGAAACUACAUGGCUAGAGUGCGUUCGGGGCAGAGGGAAUUCCUGGUGUAGCGGUGAAAUGCGUAGAGAUCAGGAAGAACACCGGUGGCGAAAGCGCUCUGCUAGGCCGCAACUGACACUGAGGGACGAAAGCUAGGGGAGCGAAUGGGAUUAGAUACCCCUGUAGUCC